CCUACGGGAGACAGCAGUGAGGAAUAUUGGUCAAUGGGCGGACGCCUGAACCAGCCAAGUAGCGUGCAGGAUGACGGCCCUACGGGUUGUACACUGCUUUUAUACGGGAAUAACGCGCCUUACGUGUAGGGCUUUGCAUGUACCGUAUGAAUAAGGACCGGCUAAUUCCGUGCCAGCAGCCGCGGUAAUACGGAAGGUCCGGGCGUUAUCCGGAUUUAUUGGGUUUAAAGGGAGCGUAGGCCGCAUGUCAAGCUUGCUGUGAAAUGUCCGGGCUCAACCCGGGCCUUGCAGCGCGAACUGGCGUGCUGGAGGCCGCGGAAAGCAGGAGGAAGUCGUCGGGGAGCGGUGAAAUGCUUAGAUAUGACGAAGAACCCCGAUUGCGAAGGCAGCUUGCUGCAGCGGAACUGACGCUGAUGCUCGAAAGCGCGGGUAUCGAACAGGAUUAGAUACCCUGGUAGUC
This 460-nucleotide ribosomal RNA is filed under the name uncultured bacterium. Its description in RNAcentral is "partial 16S ribosomal RNA". It matches the Rfam family "Bacterial small subunit ribosomal RNA", at positions 338 to 795 of the family's 1533-position model. The record is from RNAcentral.